CUCAGUGGAAAAUAAAAACGAAGGUUGCUUGAAAUUACAUAGUGAAAGAUUGAACUCGUCAGCAAAAGAAAUUAAAUUGUUACGCGACUUUGAUUAUUCUAGUCAGCAGCUUUAGAUUUGUCUGGAGCAAACGUCGGCGCAUGGUUUAUCCACCUGUCGGUAAGGUUAGGGCGGUCAAUGGGACCCACCACCCAUCACUUCAACUUCACUGUAACCAAAUCUAAAUCCACUUACCCAUUUGCUACUUUGCCAACAAACUAACCACGCACGGCAACAGAAUAAUAGUACUGCAUUCAAGUUAAAAACAAAAACAAUAAUCAGGAAUCUUAAACUUCC
RNAcentral lists this long non-coding RNA (336 nucleotides) under Phaseolus vulgaris (common bean). RNAcentral's name for it is "long non-coding RNA (PVUL_LNC004155)". Lineage: Eukaryota; Viridiplantae; Streptophyta; Magnoliopsida; Fabales; Fabaceae. The record is from RNAcentral.